UUUCUCUGCAAUUUAGUUACACGUGCUGGCAAAUCCCUUAGUAGCUUAAAGUGCCACGUUUCAUGGAAUCUAAUGUGACAGCCACUAGUAUGAGAUAAGGCUCACCACCAAUUGCUGGGCCAGUUACCUCACAAUGGAUUGCAAGGCACGAGUUUAUGACAUGGGCAUGGGGGGAGCCCAGCUGUCCUUGGAGAGAGGAAGGUGGCAGUCCAAACUGGGCAGUUUCUCACAGAACAAUUCCAGGUGUUUCAUGUGCUCUUCCUCCCCACUUCAGAAGUACACUGUGGACACAAAAGUGACAGAAAGUCAACUGAGAAGGCCGAUGACAGAAGAGUGGAUUGGAAUUAAGAGAGCAUUGGCAAACAACGCGCAGACACGGCUGAUCUUCCUUUCACCGCCUCCUUUUUUCUCCAUACUCUGUCCCCACUCACUAGACAUGUUCUGGCUCCUUUGGCGCUGCAGGGAGCAAGGGGAUGUCACACGGGGAGAAGCAGUGAAGACCAGGAGGCCCUGUGGCCUCUGAAGUCCACAAAAUGAAUGACUGCAUCUCACUGCCCCUGCAGGCUGCACCCUACCUCCUCUGAGCCAGCUGUCACAGCGCUGUGUUAGCAGAUAACCUGGAGUGUGCGCCUUGCUGGCACGACUAACGUUUUCUGGCUGUGUGCCCAGGGACGGACUAUUAUCAGCUGGUAUAGACAACCUGAUUACUUCCAUAUUUUGCCUUUUCUUCUUUUAUUUUGGCUUAUCCUUUGAAUAUUUUUUGAGCUCUAGUCUAGUCAAAACACUCUAGCCAAUCCCAACCUCAGAAUGCGCAAGACCCAACAUCAACAAUUUAGAAGAGAACUGUAAGUCAACCAGCAGAAUCCAUCUUUCUGUCAGCCACUUCUCUGGAAAUCUUCCAAUGUGCAGUUUUGGUUAGUGACCAGAUUAAGAAACUCCGUGGCCACCCCCAAGGGGCUCCAUCAGGCACCACAUUUAAUGAACCUCCAUUAUUAGGUUCCCACAAGUGGAAUUUGUUGGUCAAGUUGCAUAAUACUCAUCGGGCACUGUGUUAGUUAGGAUAGGAAUUGCUGGCUGCUAUAAUAAUCUCCAGAUCACAGUGGCUUAACCCAAUAGAAGUGUCUAUCUUAUCACAUAAAUGUUAAUCAGGAGUCUUAGCAAGGCUACCUUCCAGGUGGGGGAUUCAGGGGUCCAGAUUCCUUCCAUCUUGCUGCACCACCUCUGUCCCUGGGCCCACAGUCAGAAGACGUUAGUCCUAACAGCAAGGUGCACACUCCAGGUUCUCUCUAACACAGAGCUGUGACAGUGGCUCAGUGUGAGGAAAGAGAAUAUGGAAUUCUGCAGGGUUGGCCCUGGAAGUGCAUCC
This 1366-nucleotide long non-coding RNA is filed under the name Chinchilla lanigera (long-tailed chinchilla). RNAcentral describes it as "lncRNA (ENSCLAG00000023291.1)". The record is from RNAcentral. Lineage: Eukaryota; Metazoa; Chordata; Mammalia; Rodentia; Chinchillidae.